This 548-nucleotide ribosomal RNA is filed under the name uncultured Glomeromycotina. Its description in RNAcentral is "SSU rRNA". It matches the Rfam family "Eukaryotic small subunit ribosomal RNA", at positions 548 to 1098 of the family's 1831-position model. The record is from RNAcentral. Lineage: Eukaryota; Fungi; Glomeromycota.
UUGGAGGGCAAGUCUGGUGCCAGCAGCCGCGGUAAUUCCAGCUCCAAUAGCGUAUAUUAAAGUUGUUGCAGUUAAAAAGCUCGUAGUUGAAUUUCGGGAUCAAUUUAUCGGUCGUGCCUCUGGUAUGCACUGGUAUUAUUGAUUUCUACCUUCUGACGAACCAUGAUGUCAUUAAUUUGGUGUCAUGGGGAAUCAGGACUGUUACUUUGAAAAAAUUAGAGUGUUUAAAGCAAGCACACGCUUGAAUACAUUAGCAUGGAAUAAUGAAAUAGGACGUUUGACCCUAUUUUGUUGGUUUCUAGGAUCGACGUAAUGAUUAAUAGGGAUAGUUGGGGGCAUUAGUAUUCAAUUGUCAGAGGUGAAAUUCUUGGAUUUAUUGAAGACUAACUACUGCGAAAGCAUUUGCCAAGGAUGUUUUCAUUAAUCAAGAACGAAAGUUAGGGGAUCGAAGACGAUCAGAUACCGUCGUAGUCUUAACCAUAAACUAUGCCGACUAGGGAUCGGAUGAUGUUAAUUUUUAAUGACUCAUUCGGCGCCUUACGGGAAAC